RNAcentral lists this ribosomal RNA (465 nucleotides) under Vreelandella stevensii. RNAcentral describes it as "partial 16S ribosomal RNA". It matches the Rfam family "Bacterial small subunit ribosomal RNA", at positions 338 to 795 of the family's 1533-position model. The record is from RNAcentral. Lineage: Bacteria; Pseudomonadati; Pseudomonadota; Gammaproteobacteria; Oceanospirillales; Halomonadaceae.
CCUACGGGUGGCAGCAGUGGGGAAUAUUGGACAAUGGGGGGAACCCUGAUCCAGCCAUGCCGCGUGUGUGAAGAAGGCCCUCGGGUUGUAAAGCACUUUCAGUGAGGAAGAACGCCUGGUGGUUAAUACCCAUCAGGAAAGACAUCACUCACAGAAGAAGCACCGGCUAACUCCGUGCCAGCAGCCGCGGUAAUACGGAGGGUGCGAGCGUUAAUCGGAAUUACUGGGCGUAAAGCGCGCGUAGGUGGCUUGAUAAGCCGGUUGUGAAAGCCCCGGGCUCAACCUGGGAACGGCAUCCGGAACUGUCAAGCUAGAGUGCAGGAGAGGAAGGUAGAAGUCCCGGUGUAGCGGUGAAAUGCGUAGAGAUCGGGAGGAAUACCAGUGGCGAAGGCGGCCUUCUGGACUGACACUGACACUGAGGUGCGAAAGCGUGGGUAGCAAACAGGAUUAGAUACCCCUGUAGUC